This 381-nucleotide ribosomal RNA is filed under the name Nocardia farcinica. RNAcentral describes it as "partial 23S ribosomal RNA". It matches the Rfam family "Bacterial large subunit ribosomal RNA", at positions 992 to 1338 of the family's 2925-position model. The record is from RNAcentral. Lineage: Bacteria; Bacillati; Actinomycetota; Actinomycetes; Mycobacteriales; Nocardiaceae.
CGGGGGAUAAGCUUCGUAGUCGAGAGGGAAACAGCCCAGAUCGCCGGCUAAGGCCCCUAAGCGUGUACUAAGUGGAAAAGGAUGUGGGGUCGCGAAGACAACCAGGAGGUUGGCUUAGAAGCAGCCAUCCUUGAAAGAGUGCGUAAUAGCUCACUGGUCAAGUGAUCCUGCGCCGACAAUGUAGCGGGGCUCAAGUACACCGCCGAAGCCGCGGCACUCCAACAUGACAUCCGCAUCGGGUUACGGUCCGGUGUGCAGUGGUUGGGGUGGGUAGGGGAGCGUCGUGCAGCCAGGGAAGCAGCAGUGUGAACUAGUUGUGGAGGCUGUGCGAGUGAGAAUGCAGGCAUGAGUAGCGAAAGACGAGUGAGAAACUCGUCCGCC